Molecule: ribosomal RNA, 999 nt
Filed under: Triticum aestivum (bread wheat)
Lineage: Eukaryota; Viridiplantae; Streptophyta; Magnoliopsida; Poales; Poaceae
Description: partial small subunit ribosomal RNA
Source: RNAcentral
AUGUGUUGGUUCAUGGAUAACAGUCGCGCCGCCCAGCGCACACGUCGCCCACCUUGCCGCCGUCGCUCUCGCAUGUCACGCACCUUGCUAGAGCACCCGCGCACGUCGCAGACCUCGCCGCUGCACCCCGAGCAAGUUGCCGCCGGUGGUCAUUGGCCGGUCCGCUCGGUCCGGCCCGGGCUUGGCCGCCGCCGGUCCGGUCCCUCAAAUCAGGACCGCCAUGAUGCUCGGUCCGGUCCGGUCCGGACCGCCGGCGGCCGGUCCAAACGACGGCUCGGACCGGCCCGGACCGUGUCCACCCUGAGCCGCUACCGCUCCAUCAUCCUCGCCUGCACCCUCUACGUCCUGGGAUACGGCAUGGUCACUCUAGCGUCCACUCUACUGGAGCAAAGCUCCUUGCCGGCUGGCGACAUCCAUACCUCUUCCGGCCCUUCGUCGCUACAGGUGGCCUUCCUCUAUGCCUCGCUCUACCUAAUCGCCCUGGCGCAGGGCGCCGACAAGCCGUGCGCCUUGGCUUUCGCAGCCGACCAAUUUGAUCCCGAGCACCUCAAAGAGCGUGCAUCCCGUAGCUCCCUCUUUAACUGGUGGUUCUUCUCGAUGGCUGCCGGCAUCUCCAUCUCCGUCGCCGUCGUCAGCUACAUCCAGGAGAACAUCGGUUGGGGAAUCGGCUUUGGCAUGCUUUGCACCAUCAUGGUUUGUACCUUCAUCGUAUUCCUCUCUGGCACCCCCACCUAUCGCUUCUGCGUUCCCACCACCGAUGUUGAGAGUCCUUUCGCCCGCCUCGGUCGUAGCCUUGGCACACUCAUCAAGAGCUCAAGCUUCCCCUUUAGUACAAAUGGACACCAAGACGAGGAUGUUGUGGCCAAAUCCGAGGAGGCGCGCAACAUGCUCCGUGUGUUGCCGAUCUGGGCGGCAUGCCUGGCGUAUGGGGUUGCGUACGCACAAAUCAUGACGCUAUUCAACAAGCAGGGUCGCACGUCGAAUGUUAUAAAAAAGUGA